Molecule: transfer RNA, 65 nt
Filed under: Araneae sp. MT-2014
Lineage: Eukaryota; Metazoa; Arthropoda; Arachnida; Araneae
Description: partial tRNA-Pro
Source: RNAcentral
GAUAAAAAUAAUCCUCCCAAGAAUAAUUUUAAUUUUACCUUUUUUAAAUUUAAAUAUAAUUAUUA